UAUGAAGUGCCUGAAAAAAAGGAUUAUUUUGAUAGAAUAAAUUAUACACAUUGUGUCUUCAUAA
RNAcentral lists this transfer RNA (64 nucleotides) under Nigidius sinicus. RNAcentral's name for it is "tRNA-Ile". The record is from RNAcentral. Lineage: Eukaryota; Metazoa; Arthropoda; Insecta; Coleoptera; Lucanidae.